Molecule: long non-coding RNA, 6010 nt
Filed under: Gossypium barbadense (sea-island cotton)
Lineage: Eukaryota; Viridiplantae; Streptophyta; Magnoliopsida; Malvales; Malvaceae
Description: long non-coding RNA (GBAR_LNC017428)
Source: RNAcentral
UGAUAAUCCUAAAUAAAAUAAUGUUUAAAUAUCUUAUGGAUGAUUGAUGGUUUUUCCUUUCUUUUCUUAGAUGCAGAUAAAAGACAAUUCUAUAAAAAUAGUUGAUCGGGACAAGUGUUUAAUAACUUUAGAGUUUUGGUGAAUUAUAAUAAUAGGGUAAAGCCUUAAUAGGAAUUGCGACUAGUGCGACUUAAACUUAGGCCAUACAUGGGGCAAUGAACAUCAUUGACCAUCAAACCAUUAUAUGAGGUUCUUUAAUAUUUUUAAUUUUAAACAGAAAAUUAUAUAAUAUUUUAUCUAUUUAUAUAGUUAUUAAAUAUUUAACUGAGUUGAAGAUAUAAUUUUAAAAUAAUUUUUUAAACUAUAAUAUUUAUAAUAUUUUAUAUUUUCAAAAUAAAAUCUAUAAAAAUAAUUUAAACUCAAAAUUUUAUUAAUUUAUUAUUAUUUUAUAUAAAUUAAUUUAAUAUCAAGUUGUAGCUUAUUAAAUAAAGUAGAUGGAAAUGUGGAAUAACAUGGAUGGUGUAUUAAAGUUACGAGUACAAUCAAUGUUGACCGAGGAAAAUAAGCAUAGAUAAUUGCAACAAGAAAUUGUGUGUUUAGGGUUGAAGAGGAAUUAAAAUCAAUGUAUAAUUAGGAAAAGUGAUUGAAUACUUAGAUUUUAAGAAAUUUGAGGGGCUGGAUAGCGAAUACACCCUUUUUGCCAAAAAUAAAAUGGAAAAUGGGAAAGGUGGCAGAAUUCAAACCUAGCUUGCAAUGGGAGAUAGAUGCCUAACCAUUUAGACUGCUACCUUACUUGCUAUAUUCCUACCACAUUCAAUAUAUAGUAUACUAUGAUUUGGUUCCUUGUUUGCUGAAAUAAAAAAGAAAAGAAAAAUGGUGGGAGAGGAGUGAAUAGAAUCUAGUAUUUUGGGGAAUAUAUAUAUAUAUUUUGAGAGAAAAACUGACCCCAAAUAAAUAUUUUUAAUAUUCCUGCAAGAGUGAAUCAAAGUUGAGCAUUGCAAUCUCUAUCAUUCUAAAUUAAAAUAUUAAAUUUAUUAAUUCCAAAAUUACAUAAUAAAGUUUUUGAGAGUGGAAAUUAAGAUAAUUAUUAACAAGAAAUACAUUUAUGAAUUUGUGUUCUUUGUUAUUCUUUUAAUUUUUUUUAGUUUUGUUUUUAUUGUCCAGUAACAUAAGGCUUUCAAAUUUAGAAUUCGUGUUAUACCUCUUAAUGAUGAUGAUAUUUGUAAAACUGGAAUCCAAGAUCAUGAUGAUGAUGAUGAUAGGCUGUUGAGACUUGGUCUUUUAUGCAUCAUUGAUGCGGUAAGUUUCUUGAUAGUGGUUUUUUUAUUGACCAAAGUUCAUCAUUAGGUUAAUCUGAUAAUGACCGGGAUGCAACUUUUAGCGGCUUGAUCAAGGUGGCACAACUCUAGUUUUAUUUUUAAAUUCUUCUAGUAUUGCAGUUACUUUCAGCUUAUCUUUUUCAUCUUUUUGAAUUAUUCUACGGACAUGGCAUUUAUACAUCAAUUUAUUGUAUAUUACCUAUCAUUUGUAUUAUGUGUCAGAUAUUUAUAUUCUUGUCGUUCAUUAUUCCUAUUAAUGAUAGUAUUUUCUUUAAAAAAUAUAAUUUUAUAUGAAUAUUGAAAUAUAUAUUGAAUAUGCACGAAUAAUUUAAAUGUUAUGAAAGUAUUUCUACAACAAAUUGACACUUCAAAGUUAUUAAUAGUUGAUUUUUGAAUAAUAUCUUACUUUUUCUAAAGUCUGUUGAUGUCCUUUGGGAUUAAAGAGGAAGUCUUCGCAAUCAAAAUUCUCUUAAGAGGAUGAAAUUAAGGGUUAAAGCAUAUAUAUUUUUGGUGAAUUGCAAGUUUCGAAUAACUAACGCAACUAGCGUGAUUCAAAUCCAGACAUACGGAGUGGUAAACACUCUUAACCAUCAGGCCAUCACAUGGGGUUCAUAUAUAGAACAUAUAUUAUCCUAUUAUCUUAAAACCAAAUAAUAUAGUUAUUAUUAAAUUUAAAAGAUAUGUUUUUAUCUGAAAAAAAUAUUAGCGGUAUGUCUGGCUCACUGGAACUAAAUAAAGUAGAAAUUGAAUAGCCUAUUCGGUGAGAAUAGAAGAAAGAAAUAAUAACAUUGCUAUGUUUAAUUGACUAAAUGAAGUAAAGCUGUAAUCUUAUUACAUUGUUUGGUUUGACUGAAUAAUGAUAGAAAAUUUACAAAGAAUAGAUCACAAAUGACAACUUUACCCUUAGUUCACAAUAUGAAAAUUUAAAUAAAUUGACUUUUUAAAAAUUUAAAUAAUUAUAAAGAUAAUUUAGCUAUAGAAUAUUUUAUUAAAAUUAAAAUUAAAAUUAAAAUUUAAAAAUUAUAUAAAUUAUUUAUUAGCUUUUAAUAUCAUUUAUUUUAAUAUUUUAUAAAUUAUAAUAAAUAUUAUAUUAAAAUAUAAUCACCAAAAUACAUAUAUUAAUCUAGAUAGAAUCUUACCAACAAAUGGUUGAGUGUAAUGGUAAGACACACUCAUUCUUAAGUGGAUGACCCAUGUGUGAAUCUUAGAGACGAUAUUGUUAGGAAAGAUAGCUAUGAACCCCAUGAACCGUGAAAUGGAUGCGAAGGAUAUAAAAAGAAAAUAUUUUUUCAAUUCUAAACCCCAUUCUUUAAAAGAAUUUGAGUCUAUUUGACGAAGAUGAUUCCAUGAAACGAAUAAUUCAAUGAACCAAACCAUUAAAUCAUUGUUCAUCAUCCAAUCAGCUCGAAAUAAUUUGACUAUUCAUGCCAACCAUAGUAAAUAAGAAACCACUCAAACAAAAAACAUUAAAUAAGAACUAAGUUGAUAGCUUAAUUUUGAAUUAAAAACACACAAAUUCAUAUUCGAUUCUUACCUGAAAAAGAAAAAAAUAUCAUGUUAAAUUAUACUAUUUUUAAAAUUUUAUAUGGCAAACAUAUAAUCCCAUGUUUAAUGCAUGUAAACUAGCACUAUUAUUUGAGUGAAGAUUAAAAUUUUUAAAUUUGAAAAAUAUAAAAAUUAAAAAAAUCAAAUUAAACAAAAGUGACUAAAUUAAUACUGGACUAAUAGUAGAAUUUGACCAAACAAAAUUACCUAAUACUUAGGCAUAAUUCAAAGAAUAACAACAAUACUUGAAAGAAAAAGAAAUAUGCUGUUAUGAAUCCAAAUCUUAGCUUAAAUGGUUUAAACAACUACCCUGAAAAGGGUGGCAUUCAUGGAGUUUAAAACUUAAAAGUUUCAAACAUCUACAACAUCUGCAACACCUUCUUUUAUCCCUAUGAAGAUAUGGGGAAGAUGAGUGUAGAAGCCCAAAUUUGCUGGGCCCAUUGUUCAAAUAAAAUAAAAUACAACAAACCUAAAAUUCAAUCCCAACUACCCAAACCUUAAGCCCAAAAUAAUCAGCCCACAAACUUAAAAUUUCAGCAGCAAACCCUAGCUGGCCGCCGCAUGCCUUACGUGGCCUCCUCAGCCUUGGCCACCACGCCCCACGCGUCUGACACUCCCACCUGCUCCACCGUGCCCACCACCUGCAACAAGAACAAACACAACAGCAAAGAAAGCAUGCGAAUGAUGGGGGAAGUAAUAAACAAAAGGAACAAAAAAAUAUAUUGGCUUUAAAAGCCGAAAUCUAUCAUUUGUAAUGGGGGGGAUUUUCUUUGAAAAAGAUAACAAAGAUUAGAAAUAAAAAAGAAAACAAAAGGUUACUGUUUUAUUCUUCUUUUUUUUCUUCGAUUCAUUCAUUUUAUUUUAUUUAUUACCAUUAUUUUUUUUAAAUAUGUUCUAAAAAACUUUUAAUAAAAGAAAUCAAAAGCAAAAUAAGGAGAAGAGAAAUUCACCGGAGUUGGCCGUGACCACGCCGCCGGUGGGGUUUCUCCUUCAUCGUCGACCACCAGUCUUUGUGGCUGUGGCGGUGGCGCUCCAAGUGCUAAGAAACCCAAGGGUUGGGUGCUUGAAAGAAAAGGGGAAAAGGUUUUUGAAACUAAGAAAGGGACAAAGGCUAGAAGGAAAAGUUUGCUCAAAUGCAUCAAGUGAAACGACGCCUGUUUGAUGGGGGAGAUCUGUGCAUGCUUUGCCCUAAUGGGUAAUUUAUGCAUUUAGUCCCUCCAUCUUGCGUUGAAGUGUAAUCCAACCUUUUAUUCCUUUUAGACUUGGGCUGCGAAUUUUGUUUCUGCUUCAAUCAGGUCCUUUGACCAUGUGUGCCCCUUUGCAUUGAAACGCUGCGCACAAGGGGCUUGGGAUAUUUCUUCCUUCGCUCCCUGAUAUUUUAGCACGUUGCAAAUCAGUCCCUCGUUCUAUCUUUUAAUUUUUUUAUAUCCCCUUUAUUUUAUUUCUGGUUUCAAUCAUGCCCAUUACCUUUUAACCCCAAUUUUUGUACAUUUUUAAACUGUUUCUUUUAUUAUUUAAGAUUUUCUUUUAUAUGUUAUUUUAUUUUAGACUGUUUUAGAUUAACUAAUAUUUAUCUCAAGCUUUUUAUAUGUUAUUUAUCUUAAAUACAUGUGUUUGCAUUAUCUAUUUUGAAUUUAUAUGUACUAUGUAGUUUAGAUUGUUUCCUAUACUAUUUAUUUUGAAAUUCUUUAUAUUAUUUAUAUCAAAACUGUUUAUUUUUGUUUAGAGUUUCUAUACAUUGAGUAUUUUAUACAUUGGAACGCAUUAUAUAUACUAAUUAUUUUAAAAUCAUUUGGUACUUUUUCAGCUAUGAUAUACGUCUUAUGUUUAUUUAUUAUCCAUUUUAAAAUUUUUCCUAUCUUACAUUUCUAUAUGUACAUACAUAUUACUUUUAAAAUUUUUAUACAUAGUAUUUUAAAAUCGUUUUGUAAAAACUUUUUUAUUUUUUAUUUUAUUUGUUCAAAAUUCAUUUAUUAUCUCUUCAAAAUUAUCCUACAUUUAUUUGUUCUAAUUUAUUUUAUACUACUCAUUUCGAAGUCAUUACGUAUGUUAUUUAAUUUAUUUGUCUUUGUUUAUUAAUACUAAUUUUUAAAUAAUGUAUGUCGAGUGGUUAUUUUCAUUGUGUGUACCAUAAUUAGUUUACUCGUACCUUCAUAUUAUUGUCAUAUAUUUGUAUAAUUCUAUCCAUGUAUCAUUAUUCCAUGCUUAUUAUUAUAUUGUUAUUUCAUGUCAUCAUUUUGUAAAUUAAACCCCAACAUAAUUGUCUAAUGUGGAUUGCUUUAUUUUAUUCUAAGUAAGAUAAAUGUUUACCUUCAAAUAAAUUACCCGCUAUUAUUCGAAAGGGAAUUUUUCUAAAUAAGGCAAUAUUUCGCGUUUGGAAAAUCGAGAAAACGUGCCCUAACGUGCUGGGUUUCGAUUUCUCGUUCGACUAAAUAGCCAAAUAUCCUCUUAAAGCUUCAAAGUAUGGUUUCAUUAAACUAUAAGGUGAUCUUGGUUUCGAUGGUUUAGAGUAUCGUGUCCUAACGUGCUGGAUGUGAUAUUCCUUUGGAACAAGAGAAUCUUAUAUUUCAAUUCACGUUAUCAGAGUUUCUUUUAAGGAUCGUAUUUUUAAAACUCUUCGAAGUUUUCAAUUUUCGACACUAAGACACUAAUUAAUCAACUAGGUACCAAUUUUGGGCGCAUCGAGGGUGCUAAUCCUUCCUCGUGCGUAACCGACUCCCGAACCCAUUUUUUUGAAUUUCGUAGACAAAAAUCGUUGUUUUAAUAAAAUCUAAAUCGUUUAUUAAAAACAACCGUUUUACGAGGUGACCCGAUCACACCUCAUCAAAAAAGAUUGGUGGCGACUCCUAUUUUUCGUUUUAUUUUCAAAAUCCAAGUCGACCCCGUUUCCAUCCAAAAAAUGGUGUCAACAAUGAGAUUGGAGACAAUUGAUGACUUUUGCUGGGUAAUGAAUCUAGGUUCUCCCAUACUCUCUUGAAGACAUAUUUUCACAAGGAAAAUAUGAAAAAAUGGAGCAAGAGAGAAACUAGAUUCAUUGCCCAGUAAAAGCCCAUAGAUCAGAGGUUGAGAAAAAAUAUAAAAGAAGGAAAAGGGAAACUAAUAGGCUAUUAUUUGGCAAUGCUCAUAUAUUUCUCUUCUAGGCUUUA